UAGGGAAUCUUCCGCCAUGGACGCAAGUCUGACGGAGCAACGCCGCGGGAGUGAAGAAGGAUUUCGGUUCGUAAAACUCUGUUGUUAGAGAAGAACAGCGCAUAGAGUAACUGUUAUGCGUGUGACGGUAUCUAACCAGAAAGCCACGGCUAACUACGUGCCAGCAGCCGCGGUAAUACGUAGGUGGCAAGCGUUGUCCGGAUUUAUUGGGCGUAAAGCGAGCGCAGGCGGUCAAUUAAGUCUGAUGUGAAAGCCCCCGGCUCAACCGGGGAGGGUCAUUGGAAACUGGUUGACUUGAGUGCAGAAGAGGAGGGUGGAAUUCCAUGUGUAGCGGUGAAAUGCGUAGAUAUAUGGAGGAACACCAGUGGCGAAGGCGACUCUCUGGUCUGUAACUGACGCUGAGGCUCUAAAGCGGGGGUAGCAAACAGG
RNAcentral lists this ribosomal RNA (429 nucleotides) under Bacteroidota bacterium. Its description in RNAcentral is "Bacteroidetes bacterium partial 16S ribosomal RNA". It matches the Rfam family "Bacterial small subunit ribosomal RNA", at positions 355 to 776 of the family's 1533-position model. The record is from RNAcentral. Lineage: Bacteria; Pseudomonadati; Bacteroidota.